GGUUGCCUCAGAAGGAAGGAUCCAGGCUCGGGAUGAACCCAUCCCCCGGCCGCACCUGCCCGGUGGGACAAGAUCCAGAAAAAAUCCUUCCCCUGCUCCGGCCGCGCACCCGGCAGGAGCCGCGGCCUCCCCGCCCCAUCCCUGCCCCGCCAGGAUUUUGGGAAGGGGAGGAUCAGCUCCGUGCCAUGGCAGCGACCCGAGCCGCCGGGUGACGGGCAGAGGAGGUGGCUGAGGAUGCGAGGAUGGGAAAUCCAUGCUCGGGAUGCUCCCGCCUCGCACAUCGUCCCCUCUCCAUCACCCCGGAGCUGCAAACCAGUUUAUACAUCACCCGGCUCCAGCGCUACCAGAGCUCCUGUUGAAUAUCCCAGCGGAGAGGAGAAAUUCCUGCUGGGAGUUCUCUCCGGCGUCACCCUCGGGAGGGGGGACGGAGGGCGGGCAAAGUUCGGCUCCUAUAAAGUCAGGUCUGGUCCUCUUCAUUCAUUCCCCUGGCAGCACCGCCGGCAGCAGCACGUCCAGCCUUUGCAGAAAAUCUGGGAGCAGCAAAUCCUGCCCCGAAGCCGGCGGAUUUCUGCAGGGUGCCGAGGAGAGCGAUGCCGAAGGCGCUGCGCGGCGUCGGGGCCGCCCUCACCUGCCUGCAGCUCCUGCUGCUCCCCUCGGCCGUGGAUUCCCGGCCCCGCACGUGGGACCAGGACAGGUUCCAGCUGGAAGCCGUCAAAAAGGAGAUCCUGGAGCGGCUGGGAAUGCCGGCUCCCCCCGUCAUCCGGCGCCAGCUGGACCAGGAGAGCAUCCAGAGAGCGCAGCGCCUCUACCAGCGCAAAGUGGCGGAGCUGGCGGGGAACCGGAGCCGGGAGGAGGAGGAAGAGGAGGAAGCCGUGACCAGGACCCGGCGGCUGCACCGCCUGACCCCCACCUGUGAGUGGCCGUGGCUCCGUGUCACCCCCCGAGCCUCGUCCCACGGGACACGCGUGUGUCGCAGCGCGUCCCCGCCUCGGGAAUGUCACCCCGCUGCAGGGGACAUGACCGGGCAUGCAGCACGGUGGCCACGCUCAUCCUUAUCCCGCUCCUUCCUUCGCCCUGGAAGUGGGGAGGAGCCGCAGCUGGAGCCGUUUUGCUUAAAACCACAAAAAAAAAAAAAAUAUCAGGGGAAUUGAGAUAAAAGCUUUGAUUUGGGGGUGAGCGGGAGGAGGAAGGGAGGUGCCAUCCUCCAAUCCCCAGCUUGAGCUCCAGUUUGAGGGUUUAUCUGCAUGGGGGAGGGGUUUAAAUAAUUAAAUAAGCGAAUUAAUAUUAAAAUUUAAAUUCAAUAAUUGAAAUAAUCCCCUUUGGGCUGGGUGGGGACAGCCGGGGGCUGGGUGGGGGUGCUCCAAUGGGUCCUGGGACGCCUUCUCUGGCACCAGGAAAACUGAGAACCUCCAGCCUGGGAGUCCCUGGAGAUGCUGGCUCUGAGGACGAGCCUAGCAAAGCAUUUCCCGCAUCCCUGAGGAUGUGGGUGAUUCCCUGGAAGCAAAAGCUCGGCUGCCUGGCCGGAGCUGAUCCCAAACCGGGGCUGAUGAGGAAUUACAGACUCUUACAUCAGCUGUCACCUCUGUCCCCGCAGUGUUGCGCUGGCUGGUCAUCCCCGAGGGACAUCGGGACUCUCA
This 1637-nucleotide long non-coding RNA is filed under the name Chloebia gouldiae (Gouldian finch). RNAcentral describes it as "Erythrura gouldiae (Gouldian finch) lncRNA (ENSEGOG00005017117.1)". The record is from RNAcentral. Lineage: Eukaryota; Metazoa; Chordata; Aves; Passeriformes; Passeridae.